RNAcentral lists this ribosomal RNA (250 nucleotides) under Klebsiella oxytoca. RNAcentral describes it as "partial 23S ribosomal RNA". It matches the Rfam family "Bacterial large subunit ribosomal RNA", at positions 1427 to 1669 of the family's 2925-position model. The record is from RNAcentral. Lineage: Bacteria; Pseudomonadati; Pseudomonadota; Gammaproteobacteria; Enterobacterales; Enterobacteriaceae.
AGGUUAAUAUUCCUGUACUACCUUAAGGAGUGACGUGGAGACGGAGGCGUGACAGCGCCGCGGACUGACGGAAUAGUCCGUUGAAGGGUGUAGAUGCUGAUUAUCCCAGGCAAAUCCGGGAUAAGAGUCGAACCUGAUAGUAUGGAGCGUUCUUCGGAACAAUCCAAUAGUGCGUGUAAUCAUACUCCCAAGAAAAUCCGCUAAACUUAAUCCUUGAGGUACCCGUACCGCAAACGGACACACGUAGUCG